CUUAGAGAAGAAGGAAGGAACCAUGCUCAUCUUGGAGGGAAGAAGCAUCUUGGAUCUGGAAGUUUUGCACCAGCUACCAUCGUUUCAAGGUGUUGGUGUUUGGAACCGUGUUUUGGGAGUUUGAUAUUUCAGUUCUGACCGACAUUAUGAGGUGAGUUGUCCUCACUAUACUAACAGGGUCGAAGGCACCAAGGUCGAAGGCACCAAUGUCCUCACUAUAUCCACAGAAGAUAUUGAGCAACCCGUUGAUCAACAAGAAGAGCAGCCGCAUCCAAGGGGAAAGAGCAAUGUAAGGGUGGGUGUGGCGAGAGAGGACAACCAGUGCAUCAGAAUGCACCAAUGGGAGCUACUACUUUUGGCGAGGAUACUAUGGCUGGUUAUUUUGAGCAAAUGACCUUAAUCAUGAAUUGGAUUGGAGGGAAGAUGGAGAGUAUGAUCCAGCACUUCAACGUUACACAACCACCACAUUUGUGAGAUCACUAUCCAUUUUGUCUGACAUGGAGUGAGUAUAGGACAAGACGUGGAGAUGGAUCCAGAACGAGCGGAGCACAAGGGGAUGAGUAUUACUUUAUUGCGGAUUUGGUGAGCUAUCGUGAGCGGGAUGAUGAGAGAAUAGAGAUAGGAGCGUUCGAGUAAAGUCGUGUCUUUUAGAGUCAAGAUUCGAGACCCGGGAUUUUUAAUAAGUGCGGGGUAAAUUUCAUAAGAAAAUAAAGAGAUAAGGGAAGAGUCAAAGAAAUCAUAGAGUUUUGGAUGGGUCUAAAAGCAUUUAUAUAUUCAGUUGCACUUGACUUGCAUCGAAGAAUUAUUAUGCAAAUACAUUAUGUGAAAUCCAGUUUACACGGCGUGGACCUUAACUCCACGUCGUGAGUUUAGAACCUAUCGUGAUAUCAAAUACGAUUUCAAUCGAUAACACAUCGUGGAUUCCAAUACCACGUAGUGAUCUGCAUUAUUGGGAUGUUCCUUUUUCUCUCAGCCAUAAAAUAUGACGUAUGCUUUCCUACAUUGAUUAACUAUGCUUUGAAGAUUUUGUACACUACAUUUGUUGAAGAUUUAAGUCUCAAAUUCACAUUUCAUCGGCACAUUCACAUAUCUCAGAAUAUCCAAGUUCAAUUCACAUAUUCAA
Molecule: long non-coding RNA, 1123 nt
Organism: Lactuca sativa (garden lettuce)
Lineage: Eukaryota; Viridiplantae; Streptophyta; Magnoliopsida; Asterales; Asteraceae
Source: RefSeq, a predicted model, not a curated record